Molecule: transfer RNA, 74 nt
Filed under: Fidelibacterota bacterium
Lineage: Bacteria; Pseudomonadati; Fidelibacterota
Description: tRNA-Arg
Rfam family: tRNA
About the family: Transfer RNA (tRNA) molecules are approximately 80 nucleotides in length. Their secondary structure includes four short double-helical elements and three loops (D, anti-codon, and T loops). Further hydrogen bonds mediate the characteristic L-shaped molecular structure. tRNAs have two regions of fundamental functional importance: the anti-codon, which is responsible for specific mRNA codon recognition, and the 3' end, to which the tRNAs corresponding amino acid is attached (by aminoacyl-tRNA synthetases). tRNAs cope with the degeneracy of the genetic code in two manners: having more than one tRNA (with a specific anti-codon) for a particular amino acid; and 'wobble' base-pairing, i.e. permitting non-standard base-pairing at the 3rd anti-codon position.
Source: RNAcentral
GCACCCGUAGCUCAACUGGAUAGAGCGUUCGGCUACGGACCGAAAGGUUGUGGGUUCGAAUCCUACCGGGUGUA